This 587-nucleotide ribosomal RNA is filed under the name uncultured bacterium. RNAcentral's name for it is "partial 16S ribosomal RNA". It matches the Rfam family "Bacterial small subunit ribosomal RNA", at positions 355 to 1375 of the family's 1533-position model. The record is from RNAcentral.
UGGGGAAUUUUGGACAAUGGGCGAAAGCCUGAUCCAGCAAUGCCGCGUGUGUGAAGAAGGCCUUCGGGUUGUAAAGCACUUUUGUCCGGAAAGAAAUCCUUGGCUCUAAUACAGUCGGGGGAUGACGGUACCGGAAGAAUAAGCACCGGCUAACUACGUGCCAGCAGCCGCGGUAAUACGUAGGGUGCAAGCGUUAAUCGGAAUUACUGGGCGUAAAGCGUGCGCAGGCGGUUUGCUAAGACCGAUGUGAAAUCCCCGGGCUCAACCUGGGAACUGCAUUGGUGACUGGCAGGCUAGAGUAUGGCAGAGGGGGGUAGAAUUCCACGUGUAGCAGUGAAAUGCGUAGAGAUGUGGAGGAAUACCGAUGGCGAAGGCAGCCCCCUGGGCCAAUACUGACGCUCAUGCACGAAAGCGUGGGGGAGCAAACAGGAUUAGACACCCUCGGUAGUCCACGCCCUAAACGAUGUCAACUAGUUGUUGGGGAUUCAUUUCCUUAGUAACGUAGCUAACGCGUGAAGUUGACCGCCUGGGGAGUACGGUCGCAAGAUUAAAACUUAAAGGAAUUGACGGGGUCAUAGCUGUUUCCU